CUCUAGCAGGCAGAAGAAGGUUUUGAGGGGAAGAAGCCGUGCGUUGGUGCAGUACCGCAGGUGCCACUCGUUAGGCCGCAGGUCCGGGCCGCUCCUGCGGAGCUGUGAGGGGAAGGCUCCCGCGGGCCGGGGCAGCGCCACCUUGGCUGAGGGCAGGACUUGUGUUCUCAGCUGGAAAACACACAUUCGCAGAGUUUUUCUGCACCAUGUUCCGUAGCACUCCAUCAGCUGAGUCUGUCCCACAGAGACAGAAUGUGUUCCUGUAAGCCCUCAAACGUGGCCCGAGCAGCAGAAUGGUGCCUCCACCCCGUAUGGAGCCGCAGGACUUCAGAGAGUUGUUGACACUGUCCUAUUGAAGAAGAUGGGAAAAAGAUGUCUGUGACAGAAAGAGCGAGCUGCUUUCAGAUCUGUCUUCAACAAGGAAAAGUUACUGGAUUGAAAUUUUUCAGUAUUCCAUAACAAUCCAGGAGCUCAUCGUACAUAAAAGUGUGUCCCUCAAAGAGCCAUGGAUGAACAAACUGUGAACAGGCAAAGGCUUCUUCAGAGCACCCAGCAGUCCUAUCCUUCCUCUGCCUGUGAGCACGGCUAGCUUUGCUGCUCUGCUGCCUCAGGGUCCGCCCGUGCCUCGGGGUCCUCCCGUGCCCCGGGGUCCUCCCGUGCCCCGGGAUCGGCCCGUGCCCCGGGGUCGGCCCGUGCCUCGGCUCCCCCAGCCUCUAAGAGGAGGGAACUUGCCCUUCCCACACCUGCUGCUUGCUCCUUUUCAGUAACCAGAAGUUCUGACUUUAUCUACAGACACAAAGCGCUUCUCUGUUGUUUCCUGUGCAGCUUCUGAAGGUUACACAUGAACACUGAGACAAAACCAUGCCAACGUUAAUGUAAGCACUGACUUGUUGAAGGCAAAUGGCUCCACAGCAUUGUUUGAGCUAUCAGAUGUUUGUCUGCAUGUUGCAAAAACUGCAGCUCCUGAGGUGCCACUCUGGGGAGCAGCUGAUGUGAAACACCUGAGCAAUGACCCUGCUGGGCUCAUCAUCCCUCUCAGCUGUGCCUGAGCAGCAAAGGAGCAGCACCUGCAGGACAGUGGGCACAGCCCAGCCAGCCCCAGGCAGCCCCAUUCCUGAGGAGACAAAGCACAAGGGAGAGGAGAAGGUGAAGCUCUGCUUUAGCUGCUGUCUUUGAAUGGAGGAGAGGAGUUGUGAGAACACCAUUUCACAGCGCUGCUUGGGCUGCCUCUAGCAGUCACUCCCAGUGAGGAAGAGGAAGGAGCAACCCCUGCUGUAAAUACAGGUGUUCUGGACUGGGACCUGGAAGAGCAGCUGCCAGCCUUGGGAAAACAAGGAAUUCACACUGCUAGUCUGCAGGCCCCUGUUGCAGUUACUGCUGAUGGGUAAUGAGACUGAAUUGAGGAAGAACUGUGAAAAUGUGAGCUCUUGCUUCCUUUGUUCCAGCACUAGGAAAAAGGCUUCUAGAAGAACGUGGAAGCAUCCAGGCAGGAUGACUUCUUCCUGUGGAACAUGGAGAGUGUUGAGGUGAGCACUAGAACUUAGCUGGCCUUUCCUCUCCUGUGCAAACUGAACACUUCCCUCCUCCUCCUGCCCCCUGCAGCUUCACAGAUCCGCUGUGGAACAGCCCAGGGCUCCUUCACCCCACCACCAGGAUCAAGAAAACCGAUUCCAUGGUUUCUUAAACUAUAAUUACAGGUAUCUACCACAAGCAGCAGAGCUUGAGGGGUGCCUAGUUUUCAGUUACAGCCUCAUCCAAAUCAGCAUGCAGCCAUGUCAGCCUCGUGCUGACAGAGGCUCUGUGAGGGGACCCCUGUCAGCUCCAGUGUUUUAAAUGCUCAAGAGCCAAAGGCUGACUCCAACCCAAGGGCAGAGCUGCUCCAAGAGGCAGAAUUCCUGCCCUUGUCAGAGGAGCUGUGCCCCAGCACUCCAGCUGUACAAAAGAUGCCCUGAGCCAGAGAGCGGUGCAGGUAGCUGGCCCCAAGCUGUGAGAACAGCUCUGUGUGUCCCUGCAGAAAGGCAGUGACUUGGAGUGUGACUGAGGUGUGUCACCUGGGCUGGGACAGGCUGGGAGGUGCAGGGACACUCAGCUAACGCUGCCCUUUAGCACUGCCUGUGUCCUUGUGUCCCCUCAGCUUUCUGAUGCACCUCACAUCUGCCUUCUGUUGUGUUGGGGUAUUAAGUGCAUUCAGAAUUUUGGAGAAGCCUUUAGAGGUUUUUAGCUGUGUACUAAAGAUGGUGACAAUCAGGCCAUACAUUCAGUCUUUUUUUGGGCUUUAGAGCAGCUGUUUUCCCACCUCAGUGCCAGUGACACUGCACAGUUUGGUGGAAAUCUGCUCUUCUGUAAAACUGCUGUACUCAAGAACUGUCUUCACUUGGAUGCUUCUAUCUCAGAUAUUCAGCAGGCUCUUCAAGGUCUCAUAUCCAGGAAAACCGAAGAAAUGAAACUUGGCAUAAAUGAAAGACUGAUAAAAUAUUCAUUGAGCGUUUAAGUUCAUUUCACUUACAGAGAUGUAGCUGCAAACUCUGCAGUGCACAGCAAGCGGUACAUAAAGAUUCACUAGCAAAACAAACAAACCAACCAACCCCAAACUAAAAGCUGUUUCAUUUUUGGCUAACUCCACUUCUGCUCUUUCAGCAUCUUCCAUGGAGAUUAAACAUCCCAGCCUCCAGAUUUUACAGGUCUGACUGGGGGAGUUAGGAGAGUAAUUCAUUAAGGGCUUUAGGAAAGACAUCCCUUUGCCAUUUUGUCACCUGUCCUGUGAGCAUUAGGACUUGGCUGCUGUUGCAAAAGGAACUGAGAAUUAUUCUGGCCACUGUGAUUCCACACUGGGGUGGAACACACAAGAUACAGAGCAGGUGAGAAUAUUAUUUAAGAAGAAACAACCCCACCCCAAAUCAGGCUGGCAGCUCUCAUGCUGAAAUCCACUCUCCCAUCUCAAGUGCUUUUAUUCCUCCUCUGCAGUAAGUCCUGAGAGCAAGCAGCAAACUCUUCACUGAAUACUGAAGCUGAAGGAAAUAGGUGGAAACUGAGAACUGAAUGUCAGAUACGGAGUCUUUUAGCAAUGUUUGAGGUCUAAACUUAAAAUUCUUCUUGAAACAAGGUCAGUUAUUAAAAAUUGGUUUUAAUUAAAACAUGGGGUUCAUUAAAUACAUUCCUAGAAGCAGAUUUCCUUUGGUACUGUAUACCCAGAGACAAAGACUGAAUUUUAUUUCUGUAUUUCUUAGACAGCUACAUCUGAAAGUAACUUAAGUUCUACAUUUUUGGGGAGAGCAGUGAGUAUGUGAGUAGUGCUGCAUUUCAGGUAAGGAGUCCUUGCUACAUUGUGCUUUUGAUUUGAAUCGUGCUUUUUUACUAGGCAUAGCUGUUUUAAAUCAUUUUAUGGUUCUCUCACUAAGGUUGCUAUAUAAAAUAGUCAUUUAAUCCCUUAAGAUUAAAGGUAGCAGAACAAUCCAAACAGGUGCUAGGAGUGAAAUCUCACCUGUUGAAGGCAUUGGAGUUCUUGCUGGGCCUUGGCCAGGAUUUUACCACCAGUUACUUGCCUGUUUUUUCCCUUUUUCCCCCAGUCAGAGUAGUGUUAAUUCCUUUCCAGUGGGGAGGGAGCUCCUGUGAUCAGCAGGACAGUGGCACCAGAAGAUGGUGACUCGGUCACGAGCCGUGGGUGCCCCUGCAGCUGCCAGGGAACACAGAACUGGCCCAGGUCCAAGCCCACGCCAGCUGGGAUGGGAAAUGAGCCAAAGGCAGCUUUGCCAUCGUGGUUCUUUGCUCUGGAAACUGUUCCCUCAGUGUCUGCUCAGCUCUGCUCUCCCUCAGGGAUACUGCAUAGAUCUCAUCCCCAGGGACGUGGCCGCAAGAAAUCUGCUUCACUGCUUGAGUGGCUUUUCAAGGAGCUGAGAUUUCCUACAAAUGUGGCCAUUCCAUUGGUUUCCUGUGUCUGUGUGUCCUUCAGUGACUGCAUUCCAGACCUCAGAGGGGUCUGGGGUUCGUUCUAUGUUUGUCCCAUUUGGAGGCAGGGAAAUUGAAUCUAAUGGACUAAAAACCAACCAUUACCAGAGUGUGCUUCAGGCUAAGCAGGAUUCAGAGAACUGAAACUGAGUUCUAUAAUUAGCCCAGGCCGGUGUCCAAGUUAAAUGAUAAACAAGUUACAUUAAGGGCUGUGAAACUGUUCCUGUGCAGCACCAUGAUGGAGCAGAUGCUCAGCCAGGCGGGUGCCUCAGUCCCUCCCCACUACUGCUGCUUCCACUUCCAGGGAGGAUUUUAAAAAAAGGAAUUUUUUUUUAAAAAACAGGCCCUUGAGAAAUGAGAACAGUGGCUUAAUAUAAAUCCUUUCCUUGCUGUUGAGGAAGAAAUUGAGUGUUUGUUGCAAUAAUCUUGUACAUACACUGAGGCUAAGAGCUGGGAGACACAUCCUGGUUUUGCUAAUUACAGGAGCAGUUAUUACUAGGAAAAGUUAGGUGUCCUUUAGCGUACAUUACCAGAAACACUUCCUGCUCCUUUCAAUUAGUUUUUCUCAGUAGAUGCAGUUUAGAAAGCAAUAGUAACCGAGCUCUCUGUAAGUGACUGACAGGAAAAUCUGUCCCUGGCUUUGCUUCCAAAGGCCUGGGUUUCUGUAUCCACACACCUACCACUGUGUGCUAGGCAAAAGGAAGAAAGGUGCAGUGGUACUUGAUAUAAUAAAAAACCCAGAGUGAAGCACUUCUGUCAACUCUCAGCAGACAAAAUCUUGUGUCAGCUCUUGGGGUUAAUGUCAGCUUUUAGAAAUCAGGCAGUUUAGCACAAUACUAGGGUAAGGCAUUUCAUGCAUGCUGUGAGGCCCUGUGAUGAACCUCCCCAUCCAUUCAAACAGGCUGAACCAAGAGCUCUCAGGAAGUGCCAAGGACAGACAGACCAGGAGAGGGGAUGUAGAGCAGGAGCUGUGCUCAGGGGCUCUGGCAGAGCAGCCACUGUGGAUCUGAAGGAAUGUGGGAUGCUGUUCCACCAAAGCCCACCCAGCAGUGAGAGCAGGACAGCAGCACUGGAGGCAGAGGAACAGAGCAGGUACCUGUGGUGACUCGAGUGGGCUCUCAGGGCAGCCCCUGUUCCCGUGUGAUUCCCAACUUGCUGCUUUUAGCCCUUUGUUCCCUCCAUCCAGUCCUGCUGGGGCCACAGCAAGGCUGCUGAGCCCAUCUCACUCCUCUUGCAGGGGGAAAGCACAGCCAGGAAAAGCUGAAAGGAGCUGAAAUGCUCCCAUCUCCUGCCCUGCCAAAGGGGCAGCUCCUCAGCAGCAGCUGAAGCCCUUGCAGUGUGGGGAAGGUGUGGGGCCGUUCCCUGGGGUGUGCAUAAUAUCCAGGGACUGGGACAGUGACAGCCAAAGGCCUGGGAACACAGACCCUCCCUUGUGUUUUUACAGCCUUGCCUCUGUGUUCACCUGGGCUUCAGCCUUCAAAGCUGGAACUCAUUCAUUGCAGUGUCCUGCUGGAACCUGUGAUGUAUCAGGCCUGGGAACUCAGGCAAGGAAACAGAUACUUCAGUCCAUCCCUGAAGAAUGGACACAUUAAAACACCUCCGUUUGCCACAGAAGCGGCCUGAUGUCAGUGUUUAAGGUAAAGUCUGGCUCUUGAGAUAGCAAGAGCUGAAGAUAAACAGACAUCUGCAGGUGCAGCAGAUGAAAACAGCCCUCAGUGCACAGGUGAGGCUGGGGUAACUGCUGGGGGGCACUUUGUGCCACUUAGCAAAUUCUGGGACUCCUGAGAGCUUCCUCUUCCAAACCCUUCCCUUACAAGGCCAAAAAGCGUUGUCUCACGUGCCAAGUACAAUAUAGAAGAAAAGAUGGUAACUCUGCAUAGCACAAACCAGAAUUGCCUGGCAAAACUCAUGGAGUGCAGUAUUAGUAGGUAAGAUAUGUCCAUUUCCUUUGCUGUGAUACAGUUCUCUCUAGCUAAAGCCACUGCUGGACAAAGAACAAGGUGGCAAGGUAAGGUGCAGUGCUUGUGAGGGCACAGCUAAUCCGCUAAGUGAAUGUAAUUACUGGCAAUCUGCAUACUGCAAAUUCACCCCGUUAUUUUGUGCCUGAAGAGGCACCAGUUUAAUUCACAGAAGUAAAUGUCCAUUUCCUAUUUAAUCACUCCUAGUGAAGACUCAGUGAAUUCUCCCCAUUUGGACUUCUGCAGAUUACAAGCAGCAGUACUCACUGUAUGCCAUGGGCCUGUUAAAUAGUGAGAAAGAAUUUUUAAUGAGUGAAAAUAACAGAAGUGCAGUGAAUGGAGAAGGUGAUGAUUGACAUCUCUUCCUCUCUCUGUACAGGACCCCUUCCAACCUCCAUAAUGGGGGCUGGACAGUGAGAAGGCAAACUACCAGAGCAUGGGGGCUGAAGUCCAAAAGCCACUGCAGGAGAGGAGAGCAGAGGGAAGAUCUGUCAUCUGGGAAGUGCACAAAGCAUCCCAGCUGCCCUGGGUCCUAAUUAACCUCCACUAAUGACAGAGCUGGGUGUGAACAGCAGUGCCAGGUGGAGCGUGCUGGCAGCCAGCAGCGCCUGCCCCAGUGCAGGCAGGAACCCACAGUGCUGCCCUUGUGCCAUGGCACCAUCCAGGGCUCAGCUGCACCACCAGCUCAGGCUCCUGCAGCUGCUCCAGCACAGCAUCAUCCACAACUGCUCUGCUUCAAGGAGACAGCUCUUCCUUUUACACAACUGCAAAUAUGUGACACUACAUCCUCUGCUCUUCAUCCCUCCCUCCCUUCCUCUCCAUUUCAGCUUCAAGAGAGGCUGGCUGGGUUAUUUUUUAUGAACCUUGUGGGAAGGAGUUUUCCUUGAAGGCAGUGCUCGUUCUCCUUUUGCUUCUGCAAGUGGAUUUGUCCUGUGGAAGUUGAUGGUGAUCUAUGGGAAUGUGGAGAUGUGUAAUUC
Cyanistes caeruleus (blue tit) is the source of this 6880-nucleotide non-coding RNA. The record is from RefSeq and is a predicted model, not a curated record. Lineage: Eukaryota; Metazoa; Chordata; Aves; Passeriformes; Paridae.